GCGUGCAACAAGAACAGUAGAAGAGUUUCUGAACUCCGGUCGCCUCGGCAGUGGGCCAUUGGCCAGCAAAGUUGCGUGUUCCUAAACCCAUAGUUCAUACCGUGUCGUCUGGCAUGGACGUAGACCACUGUUGGGUACUGUGUCGCGUACAGCAAGAACCCUGUCCGCCCCGGCAGUGGGCCAUUGGCCAGCAAAGGCACACAGCGAUCGGACUGAGCAUAUCAAGUAGCCCCUCCUGUGACCCACAAGACCACACUCAUUCGGCCGAGGAGCCUGUCUGGACUUACGUUGAGAGUGCUGGCAGACAGUUUGUUUUUUCAAGACUUAUGUUGGGACUGCUGGUGGACAGUUUCGGUUUUAGUCUUCAGCUGGUGCACAGUUCACUUUUAUCACACCGCCUCAUUUCUUUUGAGUGUAUCUGCGUUCUCUAGACAUUUAGCCUGUGUUCUUACACGUUGAGAGUACUCCUAUGGUUUACAGCAUUGCUUUGCUCAUAUAAACUUUUGUGAUACUGCCUUGUUGCUUUCGACUCACUUCAUUCUCUUGUC
Molecule: long non-coding RNA, 548 nt
Organism: Rhipicephalus sanguineus (brown dog tick)
Lineage: Eukaryota; Metazoa; Arthropoda; Arachnida; Ixodida; Ixodidae
Exons: 3
Source: RefSeq, a predicted model, not a curated record